This 634-nucleotide ribosomal RNA is filed under the name uncultured Marinobacter sp. Its description in RNAcentral is "bacterial SSU rRNA". It matches the Rfam family "Bacterial small subunit ribosomal RNA", at positions 870 to 1504 of the family's 1533-position model. Lineage: Bacteria; Pseudomonadati; Pseudomonadota; Gammaproteobacteria; Pseudomonadales; Marinobacteraceae. The record is from RNAcentral.
CGCCUGGGGAGUACGGCCGCAAGGUUAAAACUCAAAUGAAGUGACGGGGGCCCGCACAAGCGGUGGAGCAUGUGGUUUAAUUCGACGCAACGCGAAGAACCUUACCUGGCCUUGACAUGCAGAGAACUUUCCAGAGAUGGAUUGGUGCCUUCGGGAACUCUGACACAGGUGCUGCAUGGCCGUCGUCAGCUCGUGUCGUGAGAUGUUGGGUUAAGUCCCGUAACGAGCGCAACCCCUAUCCCUAGUUGCUAGCAGUUCGGCUGAGAACUCUAGGGAGACUGCCGGUGACAAACCGGAGGAAGGUGGGGAUGACGUCAGGUCAUCAUGGCCCUUACGGCCAGGGCUACACACGUGCUACAAUGGUGCGCACAGAGGGCUGCAAACCCGCGAGGGGGAGCCAAUCUCACAAAACGCAUCGUAGUCCGGAUCGCAGUCUGCAACUCGACUGCGUGAAGUCGGAAUCGCUAGUAAUCGUGAAUCAGAAUGUCACGGUGAAUACGUUCCCGGGCCUUGUACACACCGCCCGUCACACCAUGGGAGUGGAUUGCACCAGAAGUGGUUAGUCUAACCUUCGGGAGGACGAUCACCACGGUGUGGUUCAUGACUGGGGUGAAGUCGUAACAAGGUAACCGUA